Molecule: ribosomal RNA, 331 nt
Filed under: Neisseria sicca
Lineage: Bacteria; Pseudomonadati; Pseudomonadota; Betaproteobacteria; Neisseriales; Neisseriaceae
Description: bacterial SSU rRNA
Rfam family: Bacterial small subunit ribosomal RNA
Source: RNAcentral
AUUGAACGCUGGCGGCAUGCUUUACACAUGCAAGUCGGACGGCAGCACAGAGAAGCUUGCUUCUUGGGUGGCGAGUGGCGAACGGGUGAGUAACAUAUCGGAACGUACCGGGCAGUGGGGGAUAACUAAUCGAAAGAUUAGCUAAUACCGCAUAUCUUCUGAGGAAGAAAGCAGGGGACCAUUUGGCCUUGCGCUGUUUGAGCGGCCGAUAUCUGAUUAGCUAGUUGGUGGGGUAAGGGCCUACCAAGGCGACGAUCAGUAGCGGGUCUGAGAGGAUGAUCCGCCACACUGGGACUGAGACACGGCCCAGACUCCUACGGGAGGCAGCAGU